Sorghum bicolor (sorghum) is the source of this 2372-nucleotide RNA transcript. It is a transcript of the gene named protein DETOXIFICATION 14, with no coding region annotated. NCBI's taxonomy places the organism in Eukaryota, Viridiplantae, Streptophyta, Magnoliopsida, Poales, Poaceae. The transcript is spliced from 7 exons. The record is from RefSeq and is a predicted model, not a curated record.
CGUCCCCGUUAAGAAGCCCCCGCCACCGCCACCAUGCCCACCAUCCAGACACUCCUAUCCCAGACACGAACGACUCCUCGGGAGGGGAGAAGAAGCGGAGGAGAGAGAGAAGCGCGCGACGAGUCGACGCCAUGGAAGAGAGGGUGCCGCUUCUGCCGCAGUACACGUUGCGGAACGACGACGGACGGGAGGAGAAGUGCGGCGGCGGCGGCGGCGUGAGGUGGUGGAGGGAGCUGCUGGCGCGGGAGGCCGGCAAGGUCGGUUGCGUGGCCCUGCCGAUGGCGGCCGUGAGCGUGUCGCAGUACGCGGUGCAGGUGGCGUCCAACAUGAUGGUCGGCCACCUCCCCGGCGUCCUCCCGCUCUCCGCCUCCGCCAUCGCCACUUCCCUCGCCACUGUCUCCGGUUUCAGCCUCCUAAUUGGGAUGGCAAGUGGAUUGGAAACUCUAUGUGGUCAAGCCUAUGGCGCAAAACAGUAUGACAAACUGGGGAUGCACACCUAUAGAGCUAUAGUCACACUCAUUGUUGUGAGCAUUCCAAUCUCACUUCUGUGGGCAUUCAUAGGCAAACUCCUGAUGCUCAUAGGUCAGGACCCCUUGAUCUCAAAGGAAGCGGGGAGAUACAUAGCCUGGUUGAUUCCAGGUCUCUUUGCAUACGCCAUCAGCCAGCCUCUCACAAAAUUUCUACAGUCUCAGAGUCUGAUAAUUCCUAUGCUUUGGUCUUCCAUUGCAACUUUGCUCUUGCACAUUCCUAUUUGUUGGCUAUUAGUGUUCAAGACCAGUUUGGGGUAUAUUGGAGCUUCUUUGGCAAUAAGCUUGUCAUAUUGGUUAAAUGUGAUUAUGCUUGCUGCUUACAUCAGAUACUCGAAUUCUUGUAAGGAGACCCGCUCACCUCCUACAGUUGAGGCUUUCAAAGGAGUUGGUGUGUUUCUACGCCUAGCUCUGCCAUCUGCACUGAUGUUAUGUUUCGAAUGGUGGUCUUUUGAGAUCCUUAUUCUUGUCUCAGGGAUUUUACCAAAUCCAGAGCUGCAAACUUCAGUUCUUUCAAUCUGUUUGACGACUAUCACGUUAAUGUAUACUAUACCUUAUGGGCUUGGAGCGGCUGCAAGCACUAGGGUAGCAAAUGAAUUGGGUGGUGGUAACCCUGAAGGAGCUCGAUCAUCUGUUCAGGUUGUCAUGUGUAUUGCAGUGAUGGAAGCAGUUAUAAUCACAAUUAUAUUGUUAGCGUCACAGCACAUCUUGGGCUAUGCAUAUAGCAGUGAUAAGGAUGUUGUCGCGUAUGUCAAUGCAAUGGUUCCCUUUGUGUGCGUCUCUGUUGCUGCUGACAGUCUACAAGGUGUUCUAUCAGGUUACAUCUCUUAACUUUGUUAAAUUGUUUAUCUGUCUGUCUCUCUCUUCAUCAAAAGAGUAUAAAGGAAAAGUAUUUUCCUGCUCCCUAGAACCUCGAGAAGACACAUCUUCCAAUUAUACCUGUGAAGUUAUGAAACUAUUUGUUUUUGUUCUUUACACCAAAUUACUACACCUUUUACCCAUAGUUUGAUCUGCAUAAUUCAAUCUGUGUGCUCUUUUCAAUUUCGAUAACAAGCCCUCUCAGGUGGCCAUUACUGUUUUGUCAGACAUGCCAAUGUCAUACCAGGUAAGACGUCGCUUCUGUUUUUACUUUGUUCCACGGUACUAAUGGUAUUCUGUGUUGUGGAAGCAAAAAUUUGUUACUCGGGGAGUUAUUGUUUGUUCCUUCAAAAAUGGGCUCUUACGUGAACAUGGAUGCCGGUGUUUUCAUCAACACGCAUCUAGCAGAGAUGUUACCGUAAGCAGGCUCCACAUCACUAUGUAUUGCCCGAGGAUGCGGGUGGCAGCACUUGGGCGCCUAUGUCAACCUAGGCUCGUUCUAUCUCGUUGGGAUUCCAACAGCACUCUUCCUCGGCUUUGUUCUGAAGAUGGAAGCGAAAGGGCUUUGGAUGGGCAUUUCCUGCGGCUCCAUAGUGCAGUUCUUACUUCUUGCCAUCAUAACAUUCUUCAGCAACUGGCAGAAGAUGUCUGAGAAGGCAAGGGAGAGAGUUUUCAGCGAUGAGCCGUCAGAUAAGGAACCUUUGGAAUCGGAUGGAUCGAAUUUGUUCUGAUUUUAGCACGAGUCAUCUGAUCCCUUGUAGAGAAGCAGCGGACAAGAUCUUGUAGAGAAAGAAGCCCCUCUUGGAAUAGGUUUAUGAUGCCUUGCUUUCUGGUCUCUGAACUGAAUGUACAGGGAACUCGCUGAACUCUGACCAGUGUUCUGUGUCUGUGCUUGCUUGUUUGUUGAAGCAAUGGGACAAUUGUAUCAGAAACAUAAGACAUGACGAUAAUAUGAUAGAGAUAGUAACAACAGUUUGCAAUUUUGCA